CAGAAGGGAAAACUAAGGCACAGUGGAGUCAUAUAUUUGCUCAAGCUCAUGAAACUUGUGAUUGACAGAACUGGAUGAGAUGUCUGGAUCCAGAGUCCACCUUCGUAGCCACUGUUCCGUCAUGUGUUUCAAGAGAGUCCAGAUGGGGCAUUCAUCAGAAGGAUGUCGUAGGAAAGAGUGUGUUCCAGAUGGCGGGACAAGUCAAGGAAGGAUGAGUUACCAGGAUGCAGACAUAAUCCUCACAUGCAAAAGAGGAAACUGAGGCCCAAGAGAUUAAGUCAUGUGCCCAAAGUCUCACAUCUGAUAAUUAGACCAAAUUGGAAUUUGAACCCAGGCUGGGGUGCAGUGGCAUGAUCUCAGCUCACUGUAACCUCCGCCUCCUUGGUUCAAGCAAUUCUCCUGCCUCAGCCUCCCGAGUAGCUGGGAUUACAG
Symphalangus syndactylus (siamang) is the source of this 432-nucleotide long non-coding RNA. RefSeq lists it as uncharacterized. The record is from RefSeq and is a predicted model, not a curated record. NCBI's taxonomy places the organism in Eukaryota, Metazoa, Chordata, Mammalia, Primates, Hylobatidae.